Non-coding RNA from Plectropomus leopardus (leopard coralgrouper), 908 nucleotides. NCBI's taxonomy places the organism in Eukaryota, Metazoa, Chordata, Actinopteri, Perciformes, Serranidae. The record is from RefSeq and is a predicted model, not a curated record.
UUUUUUUCAGUUGAUACAUUUUUCUGUGAUAAAAAUGAUUAAUAUUUAUCUAAUUAGAUAAAACAGAUGUUUGCAAUGUUUUCCUGUUUCUGAACAUAAUUUGUAGUUGAAGUAAGUAAUAAAUUGUGAUUUCUAUUUUAUUGAAUUUACAGGGCGUAUCAAAAAACCUUUAAAAUCGCUGUAAUAUCACGUCGCAAUUUUAGUUCUGUGAUAACAUGGUAUUUUGGGGCUUCUGCUGAUUCCCACCCCGACAGAUUUGGCCUUCACUUUAACAACCGAUGGUCUUUGACUCAUCACCCAAUCAGAGUCCUCCAAUACUGACACCGAGGAGCCAAUGGGAUCCAAGCAGGUUAAUAAUAAUAUAAUAAUAAUAACAACUCUAUUGCUUGUUGUAUAAAAAGUUGCGUAGUUCAAUAAUCAUUUGCUGUUUCUGUUUCUGCGGGUAAACAUUAAAAAUCACAAUACUGUCAUCUGGAUAAACAAAAACAAAACAAUACAAAUCUGAUAUGGCAACCACUAUAACACUAGUCUGUUGCUAUGGGAACAAAUAGACGGGCGGCUAUGUUGCUGGGGGGAAAUGCAGAAGAUAUACUGGGGGUGAUUUCUGUCAGUUUGUCCGUCACUGUCCCUCCACAAAGCCCUCGUGAAUCAGUGAUAUGAUACAAGAUAAAAUAUGACAUAAGAUGCUUUAAGGACUCGGAGCAGCGCUGUAAAGCUUAUGACAUUUAGUGGGAUCAAACUGUGCUGAGAUGAUUUUAAGAUUUCACAGGUUUCCUCCCUAACAUCUAGUAGGGGUGAAAUGAUUGUGCGCGGUGUGAUACAGUAGGUUUUGCAGUGCAGGGGGAAGCAAACAUGAAAUCAGGUUUUUGUGUGUGUGUGUGUGUGUGUGUGUGUGUGUGUGUGCAUGU